RNAcentral lists this unclassified non-coding RNA (340 nucleotides) under soil metagenome. Its description in RNAcentral is "partial contains 5.8S ribosomal RNA, internal transcribed spacer 2, and large subunit ribosomal RNA". The stretch from base 1 to 120 matches the Rfam family "5.8S ribosomal RNA", at positions 35 to 154 of the family's 154-position model. The record is from RNAcentral.
GAUGAAGAACGUAGCGAAAUGCGAUAAGUAGUGUGAAUUGCAGAAUUCAGUGAAUCAUCGAAUCUUUGAACGCACAUUGCGGCCAUAGGUAUUCCUUUGGCCAUGCCUGUUCGAGCGUCAUUUACACCCUCAAGCCUAGCUUGGUGUUGGGCGUCUGUCCCGCCGUUUUCGCGCGCGGACUCGCCUCAAAGUCAUUGGCGGCGGUCGUGCCGGCCCCCUCGCGCAGCACAUUUGCGCUUCUCGGAGGCCCGGCGGAUCCGCGCUCCAGCAAGACCUUUCACGACUUGACCUCGGAUCAGGUAGGGAUACCCGCUGAACUUAAGCAUAUCAAUAAGGAGGA